Dunckerocampus dactyliophorus (ringed pipefish) is the source of this 4411-nucleotide RNA transcript. It is a transcript of the gene named SRSF protein kinase 1b, with no coding region annotated. The record is from RefSeq and is a predicted model, not a curated record. The transcript has 16 exons. NCBI's taxonomy places the organism in Eukaryota, Metazoa, Chordata, Actinopteri, Syngnathiformes, Syngnathidae.
GACCCAGAGAAAUACGCGCUCAUGUUUCCGCAUGCCGAGCAGAGCAAGAAAGAGAGAAUAAUCCAGCAGUAGCUUGUCCAACCUGACCCGGCGCCUUAAGAAGAGGAAGUUUCCUCCACCGAGGUGCACCGAGCAUUGACGUGCUUUCUUCGGAACCCAAUUUGCAUCACGGGCGUCCAGUGGCAGUUUUUGUCGAGUUUUCAACGGACAGUAGCCCAGUCUUGUGGUGGUGCUACACGGGGACCAGAGGGCACAAGUUCCCCCCCCCGCCCCGCCUGCUUAAAUUCGCAAGAAUGUCGCAAAAGGAAAGACCCACUUUCUAUCGUCAGGAGCUCAACAAGACAAUGUGGGAGGUCCCGGAGCGGUACCAGAACCUGUCGCCCGUCGGCUCCGGUGCUUAUGGUUCGGUUUGUUCAGCGUUUGACGUGAAGACGGGCCUGAAGGUAGCAGUGAAGAAGUUGUCCAGACCCUUCCAGUCCAUCAUCCACGCAAAGAGAACCUACAGAGAGCUCCGGCUGCUUAAACACAUGAAGCACGAAAAUGUGAUUGGUCUCUUAGAUGUGUUCACACCAGCGACGAGCUUAGAGGAGUUCAGUGACGUCUACUUGGUGACACAUUUAAUGGGAGCAGACCUCAACAACAUUGUAAAGUGUCAGAAGCUGACUGAUGACCACGUCCAAUUCCUCAUCUACCAGAUUCUCCGAGGUCUAAAGUACAUCCAUUCUGCAGACAUCAUCCACCGAGACUUAAAGCCCAGUAAUCUGGCGGUAAAUGAAGACUGUGAGCUGAAGAUCCUGGAUUUUGGUUUGGCCCGGCAUACAGAUGAUGAAAUGACUGGCUAUGUGGCCACUCGGUGGUACCGAGCUCCAGAAAUCAUGCUUAAUUGGAUGCACUACAACAUGACAGUGGACAUCUGGUCGGUGGGAUGCAUCAUGGCUGAACUUCUCACUGGACGGACGCUGUUCCCUGGCACCGACCACAUUGAUCAGUUGAAGCUUAUAAUGCUGCUUGUUGGAACCCCCGGGCCUGAGCUCUCGAUGAAAAUCUCCUCGGACUCUGCAAGGAACUACAUCAACUCACUCCCCCAUAUGCCCAAGAGAAACUUUGCGGAUGUAUUCAUUGGUGCCAACCCUCUUGCUGUUGACCUGCUGGAGAAGAUGCUGGUGCUGGACACAGACAAGCGCAUCACGGCCUCUGAGGCGCUGGCUCACCCUUACUUUGCUCAGUAUCAUGAUCCAGACGACGAGCCCGAAGCAGAGCCUUACGACCAGAGCUUUGAAAGCCGUGAGCUGGAAAUCGAGGAGUGGAAGAGGUUAACAUACGAGGAGGUUCUCAGCUUUGAGCCUCCAUCCUUCGACAGGGAUGAGAUGGAAUCAUGAGGAGGAGGAGUUUCCUCUUAGAAGAAACAUUCUUUACGGGAAAAAAAACAAACUGUCUCAUAUGACUCGCCCCCUACUCUCCACACGCCCUCACCACCACAACGCUCAAGUGCCUGCCAUCUUUAAAUCUCUGAAGGGGGUAAUGUUGCAUUUUCAGGGACAAAACUUGUGUUCCACCCAUCUCUCAUACUGCUGUUUUCUGCUGACACUUUUGAUGAGAUCCCCCCCCUCCCCAAAUUUGCAUUGUAUUCUUUAUAUCGUGUUAAUAUCUGAAGGGGAAUUGAAGCAACUGCUGCUAUGUAGUUGCCAAUAAAAAUAAUACCUAGCAGUGACUAAAUCAACAAGCAGAAAUGAAACAUUUUUGAAUGUUUCUAAAAUAUAGAAUCUUUCACACAUUAUUGUUGUGUAUAGAAGGGUUUGAGAAUGACAAUAAAUGCAGUGUUUGUAUAGACUUACCAUUGCCAGGCCAGUAACCAUAUUGGACCCACAUUAUGAAUGCUGCCAUGUGGCAUAAAACUAAGAUUAGUAAUUUAAUAAAUGAAAGUAUGUAUAAGGCACAUCUCAAGACAGUAUAUGUGACAUAUCCACCUUGUGGCAUAGAUUUAAGACUUUGUUUAUAUUAUUGAAAGAAAGUCGGGGUUCUGUCUCUGAGAACCAUGUGAUGUUUGUUUUAGCUUCUACACACCUUCUUUCCACGCUAUGUCUUGGUCGCACUUUGUUUCGGAACAGUGUUUCAACGUAAUCUCGCACCCUGCAGGACCACUUUGGCACGGUAAGGCCCAGAUUUGCUUUUAAACGUUGAUGUUAUCCAUCAGCUGACAAUGUACUUUUUAUCAUAUUGUAUUUCUAAACCACAGUCCUAUAAGUGUUUCUUGAAUAUUUUAGGGUCAUUGGGGCUGCCUCGUAUUUAUGAUCUGUUGUCAUGUUUAUAUAUGGAUGUUUAAAGUAUGUUAUUUGUAAAAAAAAAAAAAAAAAAAAAAAAAACAACAAAAAAAAGUAUAAGGCCAGUUUAUUUAUGGAGAGCUAGUUUUGGCCAGACACCAAAUGUAUUCUCUUGAUUUCAUUCAACAUCAAAGUCAGUGAUGACUGCAGUUACGUCAUAUAUAUCCGAGCCAAUGAGGAAACGAAGACAAUUUAGUUCAGUUCAAUUGUGUUGCUAGAAGGCGCUGCCCCUGCAAAGCAUUGUGUUUUCACACAAUGUCAAUAGAAAUAUCGAAUCACGCUACGUUAUUUGCCAAAAAUCUGCGACAUUUCGGCAGUAGUGCGAGUUAUUUUAGGAGUCCAUUCAUCAUGAGACGUACACACCCGGUCAGUAGUUCCAUUGGCAUUGGUUUUCGUGUAGUGUAAUAUUUUAAUUAUUUUUGUGUUAAAUCAAAAUCUGAUAUUUUGUGAUUUUUGUCUUCUAUGAUGAAUGCUAGAACCACAGCUGCCAUGUAUUUGAAUAAUAUAGAAGGGCACAUUUUUAUGGGAAAAUGUAUUUACUCACUGGAUGCUGAAACCUCAUACUUGUACAGUACAUUGAUUUGAUUAGGAUAUUGAUCCUGUUCAUAAGUUCACAUUUAAUUUGGGUAUUGGCUGUUGGCUCUCAUCUUUUGAGGUCUUUUUACUCUGGUUACUAUAUGGCUACCUGUAAAAUAUCACCCUAAGAAAAUAAAGGCUAUUUUUCAAACUGGUAAAAUUCGACCAUUUGUUGUGGCACAUUUUGACAGUAUUCCAAUUAAGCCACAGGGCCACAAGGUGGUCUACUGGUUAGCAUGUCAGCCUCACGGACAGGAGAUCGAAGGCUUGAAUCUGUUGAAACAUCUCUGUAGAGUUCGCAUGUUCUCUCUGUGCAUCCCACAUUCCAAAAACAUGCAGGUUAGGUUAACUGGAGAUUCUAAAUUGUCCAUGUCUUAGUAUGGAUUUUUAGGUUCAUCCUGAAAUUUCACCCAAAAGCUGAAUAUCCUUGACUAUUUGUGAGUCGUGUAAUUGUCUGGUGGCCAGUUCAGGGUGUAUCCUGCCUUUCGCCCAGUCAACUGGGAUAGGCCCCAACUCACCUUAAUGAGGACACGCUGUAUAGAAAAUGGAUGGUAUUAGGCCACAAAUAAGUACAUGUGUAAAAAGAAUCCUGCUACCACUAGAGGGCAGAGUUACACAAUCGUGUUAAUCUUGGCAACACUUUUGUAAUUCACUUUUUAAUUUAUCUUUUACGCUAUACAAAAAACUAUCAAUAUAGUACAUGUAUGUACAGCUGUUAAUUGCUAAUUUAAAAUUAAAAUAAUUUCAAAACUUAAUUCAUAGUCAUGCAAGGAUUCUAACUACAACAAUGCAGGUGAAGUGACUUUUGACGUAAAUGUAGUAUUAAUCAUCAUUUUGUUAUAGAUGUUCUUUUAGCCGCUUAGCAAAGAACCAAACUUUCUUGUAAAUAUACAAACAUGACGAGCUCAAUUACCCCUCAACCCGGUAAGACAGAACAUAAACUGGUUGCAAACACCUUGAUUCAAGUAACACAUAUUAGCGGUAAAAUGCUGUAACACACACAAUCGAAACGUGUGCUCCAUGCAAAUAGCCAAGCAACAGUUGACAGCUUGUCUAGGCACUUCAUUACAAUGUUUUGGUAUUUCCAACGUUUCUUGAACGCAACUCUCUGACUGGGUACAGCUGUGGACUGCGGUGGACAGACCGGAGUUCUGGUAUUUCCAACAUCUCUUGAACAUACCUCUGACUGUGUGGUUUGCCGCGAUGGAAAGAAAAGUACUCGCUUUGCAGGCGAGGAAGAAGAGGACAAAGCCGCGGAAACCUGGCAAAAAUGAGUGAGGAGAUUUUUGAACACCUGCCCUAUUCUCAUCCACUGUCCGGUCCCCUUUCCUGCAUCACGUCCCAUGGGCAUCCGUGCAUCCUGUAGACCAGAGCCACAGGGUUGUGGUGGUGGUUCCAAGCCAAGUCAGGCAGACUCACCUGGCCCGGAUCAGGAAGAGGAGAUCCUUGGCUCUGACGAUGAUGAGCAGGAGGACCCUGGUGACUACUGCAAGGGUGGCUAUCACCAUGUGAAG